UCCGUACAGACGCCUAGAAGCAAACACCAUGGCGAAAGCCGGGGAUAAGAGCGGCAGCCGGGGAAAGAAAAGCCUGAAACGGAAAGCGACCGCCGAAGAACCUCAGGAGGCUGCAGCCGCUGAGGAUGGGGCGCCGGAAAGCGGGGUCCAACUCCCGAAAGCGGCUGCCUUCCCCCCGGGUUUCAGCAUUUCGGAAAUUAAGAACAAACAACGGCGACACUUAAUGUUCACGCGGUGGAAACAGCAGCAGCGUAAGGAAAAGUUGGCAAUUAAGAAAAAACUUAAGAAAGAGAGAGAAGCUCUUGGUGACAAGGCUCCACCAAAGCCUAUACCAAAGACCACUGACAACCAGAGAGUAUAUGAUGAAACUGUAGUAGACCCUAAUGAUGAAGAGGUUGCUUAUGAUGAAGCUACAGAUGAAUUUGCUUCUUACUUCAACAGACAAACUUCUCCCAAGAUUCUCAUCACAACAUCAGAUAGACCUCAUGGGAGAACAGUACGACUCUGUGAACAGCUCUCCACAGUUAUACCAAACUCACAUGUUUAUUACAGAAGAGGACUGGCUCUGAAAAAAAUUAUUCCACAGUGCAUUUCAAGAGAUUUCACAGAUCUGAUCGUUAUUAAUGAAGAUCGUAAAUCACCAAAUGGAUUAAUUCUAAGUCACUUGCCAAAUGACCCAACUGCUCAUUUUAAAAUGAGCAGUGUUCGUUUGCGUAAAGAAAUUAAGAGAAGAGGCAAGGACCCUACAGAACACAUACCUGAAAUAAUUUUGAAUAACUUUACAACGAGACUGGGUCAUUCUGUUGGGCGUAUGUUUGCAUCUCUCUUUCCCCAUAAUCCUCAGUUUAUUGGGAGGCAAGUUGCCACAUUCCACAAUCAACGGGACUAUAUCUUCUUCAGAUUUCAU
Molecule: non-coding RNA, 907 nt
Organism: Leptonychotes weddellii (Weddell seal)
Lineage: Eukaryota; Metazoa; Chordata; Mammalia; Carnivora; Phocidae
Source: RefSeq, a predicted model, not a curated record